Molecule: ribosomal RNA, 586 nt
Filed under: uncultured bacterium
Lineage: Bacteria
Description: bacterial SSU rRNA
Rfam family: Bacterial small subunit ribosomal RNA
Source: RNAcentral
AUUAGCUGGUUGGUGAGGUAACGGCUCACCAAGGCGACGAUGCGUAGGGGUUCUGAGAGGAAGGUCCCCCACACUGGAACUGAGACACGGUCCAGACUCCUACGGGAGGCAGCAGUGAGGAAUAUUGGUCAAUGGCCGUAAGGCUGAACCAGCCAAGUAGCGUGAGGGAAGACUGCCCUAUGGGUUGUAAACCUCUUUUAUGCGGGGAUAAAGGUGUCCACGUGUGGAUGUUUGCAGGUACCGCAUGAAUAAGGACCGGCUAAUUCCGUGCCAGCAGCCGCGGUAAUACGGAAGGUCCGGGCGUUAUCCGGAUUUAUUGGGUUUAAAGGGAGCGUAGGCCGGUCUUUAAGCGUGCCGUGAAAUUUUGUGGCUCAACCAUGAGAGUGCGGCGCGAACUGGAGACCUUGAGUGCGCGGAAGGCAGGCGGAAUUCGUGGUGUAGCGGUGAAAUGCUUAGAUAUCACGAAGAACCCCGAUUGCGAAGGCAGCCUGCCGCAGCGUUACUGACGCUGAAGCUCGAAAGCGCGGGUAUCGAACAGGAUUAGAUACCCUGGUAGUCCGCGCGGUAAACGAUGGAUGCCCGCUGU